Molecule: long non-coding RNA, 406 nt
Filed under: Manihot esculenta (cassava)
Lineage: Eukaryota; Viridiplantae; Streptophyta; Magnoliopsida; Malpighiales; Euphorbiaceae
Description: long non-coding RNA (MESC_LNC007487)
Source: RNAcentral
CGCCGAACAUGCAUGCGUUUUGGAGGCACGUUAGGCCCCCGAAAGCAUGAGUUAGGGAAGUUCAGGUUCGGCCGCCGAAAGUCAAGUUCGGCCGCCGAACAUUUGCAUGGAUGCGGAGGCACAUUCGGCCCCCGAACGUGGCCUGGCCAGCCACUAUAUAAGGGGCACUUAGCCGAAAUGGGCGAGCUUUCUCCCAUUUUCGGCCACAACAAGCUUCCGACUUUCCCUUUGCAAACCUAGUGUUCUUCCUCCAAAUCCCCACCAUUUUUCUUGAGUUUUAAGCUUGCAUUGAAGGUUUUGAACUUUUGAAACAAGUUUUGGAGCUUUGGGAACUCAGGAGCUCAUCUUCUUGGAUCUCCAAGUUUAGGUCGUCUCCCUCUCGAUCUUCAAGAGGUAAGAGCCGAUC